RNAcentral lists this unclassified non-coding RNA (6718 nucleotides) under Rhagoletis pomonella (apple maggot). RNAcentral's name for it is "uncharacterized LOC118739328, transcript variant X2". The record is from RNAcentral. Lineage: Eukaryota; Metazoa; Arthropoda; Insecta; Diptera; Tephritidae.
CUAAUUGGAAGAGUUUUUUAUGCACAACGACAAGGCAGCAUUACUUUUCCUGACGUUGCUGAUUUGUGGCUAAUCAACCAACCGAUAAACUAACCAGCCCACUUACCGACCCGGAUAGCACCGAGCAACCAACCGCCCAAUCAUCACGUUAGUCAAUCGCAUUACACAUCAUUGCAUGUUAAGUUCUCCUGCAGUUCAACAAUCAAUCUAUCGGAAAAUUAGCAUUUGAAUAAUUAGCAAUUUUGGCAAAAAUGUUGCUGAGAACAACAGUGACCGCGGCUGCCAUUGGACGCAUCGCGUCUGAAAUAUAAAAGCAAAUCGAAUACCAAGCAAAACUCGUACGAUGAAAAAUACAUCGCCUAACUCGCAGCACUAAAUGCUAACGAACUUUGCGAAAACAUCAACAACAACAUCCGCAGCGGGAACAGGAAUUUAACUUGUCGCAGAACAAAACAAAAUAAAUACUAUAUAGCCGACGGAGAGGUAACACCCACGGGCACUUACACACACGGACGCACUUACAAAUCCAUAAGCGCGCAAAAGCCACGAAGUCAUCGGCACACAUCACCCAGCGACAUCCACCUCUCCCCACAUUGACGCACACAUACACACGCAUAUUUGUUUGCAUCCCAAAGCCAACCGCAGCACCUACAUAUUUUCUUUUGCUAUUGUAACGUCUAGUGAUAAGAACAAACGCACAAAGUAGAAUAGUAUGAGCGAAGAAGUUAACGCAGCAAGAUAGUCAACACAGCAGGAAAAGUCAGUGAAAGGCAGGAUAGCAAAUUACAAAAAAGGAAACGCGGGGAGGCGCAGUAACGCGGACCCAGCGUAUAACACGCCUAGUUAAUUAAAUAAUUGAUUUAUUAUAACAUUUUUAGUAAGCGUGAAAAUUUCUCAACACUACUACAAAUAGCAUACACGAAGCCAAAUAGCAGAUACCUGCACGUUUUCUCUCAACUUGCCAAUAAAAGGGAAAAACAAUUCAAAACUGAAACAAAAAAAAAAAUUGCCUGCGUGUCUAUGAAUAUUUAACCAACAAUAUGACAUCAUACGCGACCGCAAAUGAUUCUAACACCACAGCGGCAACAAUGGAAAACAUAAAUGCGACGAAUGAUACCGCAACCGCUGUAGACGCGAACACAAACGCAAACGCAGGUGCGGAGAAUGUCGAUGGCAUGCGAAACUUUCACACAACUGUUGACCGCUCGUCAUAUGAAAGUCCAACAACACCAUCAACGUAUGACUGUGAUGUAGCGCGCAAAUUAGGCGAGACAACAUUGCUGCAGCAGCAGCAGCAAGAGCAACAAGAUCAGCAAUUGUUAGAUACACCAAUGAGCAAUUGUUGCAUUGACUAUGAGUGCGAUUCGUUUUCAGACGGGCAUGAGAAGACCGAUACAACACCGGAAAAUCUGAAGAAGAUUGAUGAUGUCAUUGAGCAGCACCAACACUUAAAAAAUCGCCCAUCCUCGCAUUAUCUUAGUAAUUCGCAAGCAAUAUCAUCUAACGCAGCAGAUUUUGAAAGAGAGUUUUUUGGUGCUGGUGAUGUUGGCUAUGGAGUUGGGCUCGCCGCGGCAGUUGAUGACUCAAAUGCAAAAUUUUGCUUUGGCAAACCGCUUUGCAAAGAAAAAGAAAUGUUGAGCAAAAGCGAACGCAUAGAAAGCCAUGGCCGCAGCAGCAGCAUCGACUGUGGUUCGACUGUCGAUUUGAGCAAAAGCAAGCUGAGUGCCGACGGCAACGGCAGUGACAGUGGUUGCGUUACACCGUCCACAAUGUCGGACAUCAAUAUGGGGGCGCUGAUCGUUACCGGCGGCGGUGCAGAGAAUAGCGAAUCGUUACAGCACGACGAUGAUUCAUCAGCUUCCAAUGCCACUAAUACCACAACAACAGCAACAACCAAUAAACAAUCGUACGCUUUUACAAUCGACAAUUUCAAUGACAGCGGCUGCGAUCCGGAGACAGCGAAAGCGCGUUACAAAAGCAUGAUGGAGCGUUUUCAGAGUCGUCAUCGACGCGGCGCUUCCAUGUCUAAGCUGGAAGCGGGUGAUGCUGCCAACAAGGAGUCGACAAUGACUAGCUCGGUAUCUGCCACACCGCUGAGUGGCCACACACGCCACAGUGCGCGCAACAACGGCAACACAGCAGGCAAUUCACACGAUAAUGGUGCUCUCGGCGGCGGCGGCGGCGGAGAUGCGUCGAAGGUGAAAUUGCGUGUGCGUGAUCGUAGCACGUCGCGCGUGCGGGAUGCCAGCAAGCGCCACAGUUGGUCACCGCGUUCCAGCACACAGGAGCAACAGUUGCAGGGGGGGCCCGGCCAGCAUGCGCGAAACGCGCAGACACCGUCUGCAGCACGCGCUGCCCACAUAAACGCCAAUGAACGUGCCAACAGCGCGCAAAAGCCGCUGCCACCAACGCGUAAAAACGUCAGCAAGCAGAAGCCACCGCCGCUGCAGUUGCCCAAAGGCGCGGUCAACCUAGUCGCGAAUCGCACGCAGUUCACGCCACGCUCGACCGCUAUGCAACUAGCGCUGCAAAAGGUUGAUUUCUUGUGCGCGCAACCCCCGCUUGCCGAAUUGAAGAACUACAACCUGGAGGCAGACAACAUUAGUGAGACGGGGACGUAUACGCUGGAUGGCGAUAACUACACCGAGGAGGAGAAGGAUCUCAUGAACAUCGAUAAGAGCGCGAAGCAGGCGCUUAAAGCACAACAGCGCCCGAAGAAUUUGCAGCUCAGCUCAAGUGUGUGUGAGAGCAACACUAAGAUACCAGUGCAUGUGAACAACAAUCGCACAAAUGUGCUCGAGGUGAACUACUACCACGAUGCGGAGGCGGAACCAGUGCCGCAAUCGCCGCGCGCUUACACUGAGCGCGAUCUCAUACUGGGUUCGCAUGAGUCGGCUGGCGCAUACUUAGAGAAAAUCAAGUCACGUGUGCUACGCAACGCCUCGGCAACAAAGUCUGCGCCGCCGGUCGCGGACGAAGUCGAGGAGAAGACGCCUACGGAAGAUGACGGUGAUUUAGGUUGCUUCACGAGCGUUACAACUAGCGGCGUGCUGGCCAAGAAGAGCGCGCUCGAUCCACGUCCGCGGCUGACUCGCAAAUCUGGGUUGUCCACAUCACAAAUCGAUUCCUCAGAGUAUGUUAGCAAUGAGACAAAGCUGAAGACAAACACGGCCAGCGCUUACGCAGGCGGCGGCUUCACGGACCACCAAAAGGCCGAAUAUCGUUUAAAUUUGUUUACAAAUCAAAAGGACAACACACAGGCGAAGUUUGCCGCCACGCGCAGUUACAUUGAAUCGCCGCCGGAGACGCCAACACACCAGAAACUAUCCGAUGCGGCGGUGCUGAAGACGGCGCAAACGAAAAACGAUUGGAUACAGGAGUGGGCGCGUAAUGCGCGUGCACGCAGCCUCGCUUCAGAAACGUCUAAGACGCGCGUACAUGCCGACGCGUCGCAUACGGCGUUGAUGACGCGCAGCUACACAUGCGCCUCCGAUACAGCUGCUGCCGAUUCGCUCACCGACGAUAGCAUUUACAAUAGUAAACAGUGCGUCAGCGCUGCCAAGCUGAAUCGCAGUCUAGCCGAGCGUUACCGCUUGUCAGGCGAAUGUGACUAUUCAAGCGAUCCAACGUUGUCGAGCGGCGCGUACAGCAGCAGCGGCCAGCCGGCCGAGGGCAUUUGCAAGCCACCAAAGAGUCCUUCGAAAAUACCCUCACCGCUGCAUUCGAUUGGACGUGCGCGCAGUGCAAGUCGUACGCGCCCGCCGCUACAAAAUGUGCUGCUACAGGGCGGCGUCGGCGACGAAGAGGCGGAUAUUUAUUUGCAAAAGACAGCGGCUGCUAUCAGCAACCUGCAGCAGUCUCUGUCUCGCAAGAAUUCGCUGAAAUCGCCGCCCACUACACAUUCUUCAGCGUCGCCACGUGCGCACUCAGCACGCUCGCACGCCCAUUCCUCAGCGCUGUACUCGCCGCCAGAUGACUGCGGCAGCCCCCAGCAUGGACUGGGCUCGCCUACCUCUGCGGCCAGCGGAAGCGCCUACCAUUACUCACCGCUGCAUCGGCGUGUCGCUUCGAACGAUCCAUACGGCCGCAAUGCACAGCAUUUGCAACUGAUGACGAGCAGCUUCAAUGAGCAGCAAUUGAAGUUGCUCACCAGCGGUGAAUACCUGUCGCGGCAAAUGCGCGCGCGUAAGAAUUCCUUCGAUGGCAAUAUUGGCAACUCGCCAGCGCGGCGCUCAGCUGCAGUGGCAGCGGCAAAUGCGCAGGCACAAGCACAAGCGCAAGCUCGCCAAAGUGGUCAGGAGUCGCCAUUGCGUCGUUCCAGUUCGUUUUCGGCGAAAUUAGCGACGACUCAGCGCGCGGCGCGUCCACAGUUCUCCAACAUCUACACACCACCGGCGGCGCGGCACAAUUACUCGCUGGUUAGCGGCGGCGAUGGGCAAUCCGCAACGGCGGUGGCAGUCAGUAAUAGCAGCAUUAUCAAAAAAUCGGCAAGCAGCAACAAUUUCCGCCAAGCAAUCGGGGACUACGAUGAAAAUUUCCAAUAUUACAUCAACGACGAGGAUGACAUCGGCGAAGAGUAUUAUUCAAGCGGUGCUGAAGAGAUCGAAGAAGAGUAUGACGACGCGGAGCACUAUUACCAACACGACGAUGAUAUGCAAGCGGCAGCAGGGAACAGAUCAGCUGUACCCCUGUCAAAUACGCGCCUCAACAAGGCGUUACUGAUGCGCAUCGAGCGUAGCAAGCAACGUGUAAGUGGCGGCGGCGUCAGUUCCGGUUCGGGAAAGCCGUCCUCAGCGCCCGUAUCGAAGUUGCAGCAGCAGCAGGGCGGUUCAUGCGGCGUAAUGGCAUGCCCCAACACGCCUGAACUACCACGGCGUGGCAUACGCAAUGCACCACGUUCAGCCGGAGCCGCAACGGCGCGUCAGUCAGUGCCGCGUGACACCAGUCUCAGUCGGUUGGCAUCACAGGUACCCAACUCUUUGGCCUCGGCGAAGAAGCAGCUACUGCAAACCGCCGCCGCCGUGCCCUCAGCAGCGAAGUUGACAAAUCAACGCGUGCAACCCAAGUAUUUGGAUAUUUCGAAGUACAAACCAGUGCAGGGCAAUAAUUUUCUACGCAAGAACGAAUCGAAAAGCACUUUGAAGACAUCAACAUUGGCCGGCGAUGUGAUGAAACGUAGUCCGAGUAGCUCAUCGAUGGGGCUGAGUCGUGCGGAUCCGACACGCACCAGCAAUCGCAGUGUACGCUCGGUGGCUUCGUGCAUGACCACCAGCGGCACUACGCUUGGCGGUGGUGGUGGUGGCAGUGGCGGCAGUGGUCGAGCCUCAUCAGCGGUGCGUAGAGACCAGUCGGUCACUAAACAAAAAGAGGCUGAAAUGGCCAUGUGGAAGCGACGCUCCACGUACGAUCCAAUGAAGGCAGCAGCAGAAGAUCGCCGCAAGAAGGAGGAGGCCAAACGUUUGACGCUCGCCAAGAAUAUGGACGAAAUGCCAUGCGAGAGGCCAUCACGAUCUCCCUACCGCCGUGGGCAAUUAUGACCGGAAGGGUUGCUUAUAACUGAUUUCUAAGCAUAACGACAAACGACAAAUAUUUUAUUGUUAUACCUAUUGCCAAUUUUACCACAAAACAAUCCCAACCACAACGUCAGCAUAUAAGUGAAAAACAAUUAAGAAAUAAUUCGUAAAAAAAUCAUUAGUCACCUGCUCCUUGCAAAUUAUUGGCGUCGGCUUUGCAAACCACUUUGAGCGAUUAACACUGUUUAUAACUUUUGAUUGGCAUGCGAAUUAGCAAUGCUAAUUAAGCCAUUCAAGUGUAGAUUGUGAGGCGCUAAAUGCAAGGAACGCAGUGUGUUUUGAAUACAGCAACAGACGAAAAGUAAAAACAAAGCGAUAAAAGAAAGAGCAAGCCCAUGGCGUCUAGCGCGGUAGUGGGGACUUGGGUAAAGCUACGACAAAAACAACAAGAAAACUAAACAAAACGAAACAAUGCGAAAAAUAAGAAAAACUCUCAUACCUACUAAUAACCGAAACUACCAAGAAAUAAGUGAAGCCAAACGAGCGAACAAGCGAAUUCGAAAACUAAGAACGUUAAUUCAAAUCAGAUGGAAAAUGAAGGAGGUCGUCACCGAGAGCAACAGUCGCCAAAGCGUAGAUGCAUAUAUUUAGGCGUUACAUAUUUUAACAAAUUAAGCGAACUGUUAUAUUCAACAACAACGAACCAGUAAAUCAAGCGCUACAAAUUAAUGCAAUGAAGCGAGUUAGUUGCUUACUGUCAUCAUUAGUUAUUGUUGUUGUUCACUUUGUGCACGUUCUGUAUGGUGCAUUAAAGGCUGUAGUGGCUUCAGCGUUAACCAUCAAUAGCCACUUUCGGCAUCAUUCUUCAACAUUAACUGUUUGCUGUUGUUCUUGUUGUUGCUGAUGCAUUUUAUUGUUGUCAUUUUACAUUAACUAAUGCUCGCCGUACGAUUUGCGAAAAAAAUGAGUUGUUCAUCUGCAGUUCAUUAAAUCGCAUCAGAGAAAUUUAAAAAGUUGCAUACCUGCCAGCACUUACUUACGUGUAGUUGCUGUGCUUUAUUGAGCUGUGGUCGCGCGUACUUCAUACACACGCUCACUGCGUUCUUAUUUGCUGUACGCUACACGUACGCCGCCGCCACCUUUCAAGCAACAACUAUCGCUGGACGAGCAAUGGACCGAAUAUGGUGAAGAAGAAAGCGUCUAAG